UGGGGUAUAUUGGACAAUGGGCGAAAGCCUGAUCCAGCCAUGCCGCGUGUGUGAAGAAGGCCUUUUGGUUGUAAAGCACUUUAAGCGAGGAGGAGGCUACUAGUACUAAUACUACUGGAUAGUGGACGUUACUCGCAGAAUAAGCACCGGCUAACUCUGUGCCAGCAGCCGCGGUAAUACAGAGGGUGCGAGCGUUAAUCGGAUUUACUGGGCGUAAAGCGUGCGUAGGCGGCUGAUUAAGUCGGAUGUGAAAUCCCUGAGCUUAACUUAGGAAUUGCAUUCGAUACUGGUUAGCUAGAGUGUGGGAGAGGAUGGUAGAAUUCCAGGUGUAGCGGUGAAAUGCGUAGAGAUCUGGAGGAAUACCGAUGGCGAAGGCAGCCAUCUGGCCUAACACUGACGCUGAGGUACGAAAGCAUGGGGAGCAAACAGG
This 430-nucleotide ribosomal RNA is filed under the name Pseudomonadota bacterium. RNAcentral describes it as "Proteobacteria bacterium partial 16S ribosomal RNA". It matches the Rfam family "Bacterial small subunit ribosomal RNA", at positions 355 to 776 of the family's 1533-position model. Lineage: Bacteria; Pseudomonadati; Pseudomonadota. The record is from RNAcentral.